This 77-nucleotide transfer RNA is filed under the name Podarcis lilfordi (Lilford's wall lizard). RNAcentral's name for it is "tRNA.Lys". Lineage: Eukaryota; Metazoa; Chordata; Lepidosauria; Squamata; Lacertidae. The record is from RNAcentral.
GUCUGGUGUACAUGCCUAGUCGGUAGAGCAUGAGGCUCUUAAUCUCAGGGUUGUGAGUUAAAGCCCCACAUUGGGCA